CAGCCAGGUCCCAUCUACUAUCCUUCUGACCCUAUGUAGCCAGGUCCCAUCUACUAUCCUUCUGACCCUAUGUAGCCAGGUCCCAUCUACUAUCCAUCUGACCCUAUGUAGCCAGGUCCCAUCUACUAUCCUUCUGACCCUAUGUAGCCAGGUCCCAUCUACUAUCCUUCUGACCCUAUGUAGCCAGGUCCCAUCUACUAUCCUUCUGACCCAGGUCCCAUCUACUAUCCUUCUGACCCUAUGUAGCCAGGUCCCAUCUACUAUCCUUCUGACCCUAUGUAGCCAGGUCCCAUCUACUAUCCUUCUGACCCUAUGUAGCCAGGUCCAUCUACUAUCCUUCUGAUCCUAUGUAGCCAGGUCCCAUCUACUAUCCUUCUGACCCUAUGUAGCCAGGUCCAUCUACUAUCCAUCUGACCCUAUGUAGCCAGAUCCCAUCUACUAUCCUUCUGACCCUAUGUAGCCAGGUCCCAUCUACUAUCCUUCUGACCCAGGUCCCAUCUACUAUCCUUCUAACCCUAUGUAGCCAGGUCCAUCUACUAUCCUUCUGACCCAGGUCCCAUCUACUAUCCUUCUGACUCUAUGUAGCCAGCUCCCAUCUACUAUCCUUCUGACCCAGGUCCCAUCUACUAUCCUUCUGACCCUAUGUAGACAGGUCCCAUCUACUAUCCUUCUGACCCUAUGUAGCCAGGUCCCAUCUACUAUCCUUCUGACCCAGGUCCCAUCUACUAUCCUUCUGACCCUAUGUAGCCAGGUCCCAUCUACUAUCCUUCUGGCCCUAUGUAGCCAGGUCCCAUUUACUAUCCUUCUGACCCAGGUCCCAUCUACUAUCCUUCUGACCCUAUGUAGCCAGGUCCCAUCUACUAUCCUUCUGACCCAGGUCCCAUCUACUAUCCUUCUGACCCUAUGUAGCCAGGUCCAUCUACUAUCCUUCUGACCCUAUGUAGCCAGGUUCCAUCUACUAUCCUUCUGACCCUAUGUAGCCAGGUCCCAUCUACUAUCCUUCUGACCCAGGUCCCAUCUACUAUCCUUCUGACCCUAUGUAGCCAGGUCCCAUCUACUAUCCUUCUGACCCUAUGUAGCCAGGUCCCAUCUACUAUCCUUCUGACCCAGGUCCCAUCUACUAUCCUUCUGACCCUAUGUAGCCAGGUCCCAUCUACUAUCCUUCUGACCCAGGUCCCAUCUACUAUCCUUCUGACCCUAUGUAGCCAGGUCCCAUCUACUAUCCUUCUGACCCAGGUCCCAUCUACUAUCCUUCUGACCCUAUGUAGCCAGGUCCCAUCUACUAUCCUUCUGACCCUAUGUAGCCAGGUCCCAUCUACUAUCCUUCUGACCCUAUGUAGCCAGGUCCCAUCUACUAUCCUUCUGACCCUAUGUAGCCAGGUCCCAUCUACUAUCCUUCUGACCCUAUGUAGCCAGGUCCCAUCUACUAUCCUUCUGACCCUAUGUAGCCAGGUCCCAUCUACUAUCCUUCUGACCCUAUGUAGACAGCACCCAUCUACUAUCCUUCUAUCAGUGGAAUGUCUGGUAGAAGCAGAGUAUGAUAAGGAGAUGAAUAGUUACACCAGCUCUGUCAGGAGGAAUGGGACAAAAUUCUCCCAAAUUAUUGUGGGAAGCUUGUGGGGGCUACCCAAAACAUUUGAUUCAAGUUAAACAAUUUAAAAGCAAUGCUACCAAAUACUAAUUGAGCAUGUGUAAACUUCAGACUCACUGGACAUGCAAUGAUGAAAUAAAAGCUGAAAUAAAUCAUUCUGUCUACUAUUAUUCUGACAUUUCACAUUCUUAAACUAAAGUGGUGAUACUAACUUACCGAAGUCAGGGAAUUUUUACUAGGAUUAAAUGUCAGGAAUUAUGAAAAACCGAG
Molecule: long non-coding RNA, 1861 nt
Organism: Oncorhynchus keta (chum salmon)
Lineage: Eukaryota; Metazoa; Chordata; Actinopteri; Salmoniformes; Salmonidae
Exons: 3
Source: RefSeq, a predicted model, not a curated record